GGUUCCAUAGUGUAGCGGUUAGCGCGCCUGCUUUACACGUAGAAGGUCCUGGGUUUGCACCCCAGUGGAGCCA
RNAcentral lists this transfer RNA (73 nucleotides) under Pteropus alecto (black flying fox). It matches the Rfam family "tRNA". Rfam says of the family: Transfer RNA (tRNA) molecules are approximately 80 nucleotides in length. Their secondary structure includes four short double-helical elements and three loops (D, anti-codon, and T loops). The record is from Rfam by way of RNAcentral. Lineage: Eukaryota; Metazoa; Chordata; Mammalia; Chiroptera; Pteropodidae.